AAAGCAGUCUUUUGUCAGUUAGCAAAAACUUAAGCCUACCUCUGGAAAAAGAUGGAUGUUUUCCUCUUUCACAGCAUUCUUAUUUUCUGAGAGGUGAUGAUGCUCUCCAUCAGAAACAUGAUACGCUUCUGAAAUAUUCAAUAGGCUAAGACGACACCAGGAAUACCUGCUGAUGAACUUCUGUUCCAGUAGCAAAAUGUACAGGGCUGCUACUACCAAGAGAGUAACAAAUAAUCAUAUGAUCAGAUUCCUCACAUUCAUCUGCCAAUCUUGAGCUCUGACAUGAACUCGAAGCGUACAGAAACGGCCAGAUUACUUGAAGCAACAAGCACCUCCGUACCCCUAUCUUGUUUUGCUGGCAACCAUGGGUGUUCCGCCGACAUCCUUACAAAUCAUAAACACAGUCAUUUAUUUCGGUAAGCUAUUUCAAGCACACGGGUUUGAAACGUAUCAGGUAUCCGCAAACCAUAAGCG
Molecule: long non-coding RNA, 474 nt
Organism: Dromaius novaehollandiae (emu)
Lineage: Eukaryota; Metazoa; Chordata; Aves; Casuariiformes; Dromaiidae
Exons: 4
Source: RefSeq, a predicted model, not a curated record